Long non-coding RNA from Passer domesticus (house sparrow), 506 nucleotides. RefSeq lists it as uncharacterized. The record is from RefSeq and is a predicted model, not a curated record. Lineage: Eukaryota; Metazoa; Chordata; Aves; Passeriformes; Passeridae. The transcript is spliced from 3 exons.
UCCUGAGCUGGUGUAAAUCAGCAGAGCUCCACUGAAGCUGAGAAAAUUAUGUGGAUUUACACCAGCUGGGAAUCUGGCCCACAGAUCCUAAGACAAGCAAAUAAUUCACAGUGAAUUAUUUAUAGCAUCUAGAGCCACAAAGAAGGUUCUUUCAUGCAGUCCAUUGGUAAUGAAGAUCCUUGACCACAGUGGAAGCAGAUACAUUUCCAGGAUCUUUCUGUUGCUGUGGGAAAAGACUUCCUGGGCAUGAGUCGCUGACCUGCCUGUGCAACAGACAGCCAGUGAGAGGAGCCACAAAAAGAGCUGGAAAUUUAAGAGCCUCCGAGGUUAAGCAACAAAUCCACAUCCACAAAAUAAAGUAUGGAUGUCUGCCAAUGUCAUGUAAAGAGACGUUGAGUCCUGGAGGGACCUGAAAGAUUGCUACUCUGAAUUUUUGUGUAUGUGAUUAGUUAUAAGAGUGACAACUGUAAAAGGUGGCUUAUCCCAGAGAUCUGGAGCAUGUGUGG